GUUGAUGAUCCAGUUUGUGAACAGCUGCAGACGUUUUGCAGCGUUUCGUUAAUGUUUGUGAAGUGCCUUAAUAUACAGUGUUUCAUUUGACCGUUAUAGAAGUCACGGAGUAAGCAGACGACAAGUAUCCUGUUUUUAUUAGUUUGAAAAUUGAGACUUGAAAAGUUUAAAGAGACUUGACCCGACUUACCAGAGGAGAUCCUCAGCUGGCUCUGAUAAAGCAAGCUACCAUGUUCUGCACUGUCCUGUGGAAAAGAAGAUAUGACUAGGAACAGUUGAUAGCCAGCAAAGAACUGAGGCCCUCAGACCAACAGCCUACAAUGAACUGAAUUCAGCCAACAACUGUGUAAGAUUGGAAGCAGGUCCUUCCCACUUGAGCUUUCAGAUGAGUGUCCAGCCACAGAUGACCCCUUGAUCUUAGCCUCAUUAGAGAUUAUAAAGCAAAGAAUUCAGUUAAGCUCAGAAUCCUGACCCACAGAAACUGUGGGAUAAUAAAUGUGUAUUGUUUUGAGCCAC
Otolemur garnettii (small-eared galago) is the source of this 516-nucleotide long non-coding RNA. RefSeq lists it as uncharacterized. The transcript has 2 exons. The record is from RefSeq and is a predicted model, not a curated record. NCBI's taxonomy places the organism in Eukaryota, Metazoa, Chordata, Mammalia, Primates, Galagidae.